Molecule: ribosomal RNA, 394 nt
Filed under: Skeletonema menzelii
Lineage: Eukaryota; Bacillariophyta; Thalassiosirophyceae; Thalassiosirales; Thalassiosiraceae
Description: partial Bacterial small subunit ribosomal RNA
Rfam family: Bacterial small subunit ribosomal RNA
Source: RNAcentral
AAAUCCCUGAGCUUAACUUAGGAAUUGCAUUCGAUACUGGGAAGCUAGAGUAUGGGAGAGGAUGGUAGAAUUCCAGGUGUAGCGGUGAAAUGCGUAGAGAUCUGGAGGAAUACCGAUGGCGAAGGCAGCCAUCUGGCCUAAUACUGACACUGAGGUACGAAAGCAUGGGGAGCAAACAGGAUUAGAUACCCUGGUAGUCCAUGCCGUAAACGAUGUCUACUAGCCGUUGGGGUCUUUGAGACUUUAGUGGCGCAGCUAACGCGAUAAGUAGACCGCCUGGGGAGUACGGUCGCAAGAUUAAAACUCAAAGGAAUUGACGGGGACCCGCACAAGCGGUGGAGCAUGUGGUUUAAUUCGAAGCAACGCGAAGAACCUUACCAGGUCUUGACAUCCC